This 731-nucleotide ribosomal RNA is filed under the name Pseudarthrobacter sp. RNAcentral's name for it is "bacterial SSU rRNA". It matches the Rfam family "Bacterial small subunit ribosomal RNA", at positions 74 to 819 of the family's 1533-position model. Lineage: Bacteria; Bacillati; Actinomycetota; Actinomycetes; Micrococcales; Micrococcaceae. The record is from RNAcentral.
GCCAGCUUGCUGGUGGAUUAGUGGCGAACGGGUGAGUAACACGUGAGUAACCUGCCCUUAACUCUGGGAUAAGCCUGGGAAACUGGGUCUAAUACCGGAUAUGACCUUCCAUCGCAUGGUGGUUGGUGGAAAGCUUUUUGUGGUUUUGGAUGGACUCGCGGCCUAUCAGCUUGUUGGUGAGGUAAUGGCUUACCAAGGCGACGACGGGUAGCCGGCCUGAGAGGGUGACCGGCCACACUGGGACUGAGACACGGCCCAGACUCCUACGGGAGGCAGCAGUGGGGAAUAUUGCACAAUGGGCGCAAGCCUGAUGCAGCGACGCCGCGUGAGGGAUGACGGCCUUCGGGUUGUAAACCUCUUUCAGUAGGGAAGAAGCGAAAGUGACGGUACCUGCAGAAGAAGCGCCGGCUAACUACGUGCCAGCAGCCGCGGUAAUACGUAGGGCGCAAGCGUUAUCCGGAAUUAUUGGGCGUAAAGAGCUCGUAGGCGGUUUGUCGCGUCUGCCGUGAAAGUCCGGGGCUCAACUCCGGAUCUGCGGUGGGUACGGGCAGACUAGAGUGAUGUAGGGGAGACUGGAAUUCCUGGUGUAGCGGUGAAAUGCGCAGAUAUCAGGAGGAACACCGAUGGCGAAGGCAGGUCUCUGGGCAUUAACUGACGCUGAGGAGCGAAAGCAUGGGGAGCGAACAGGAUUAGAUACCCUGGUAGUCCAUGCCGUAAACGUUGGGCACUAG